AAACAUGGCUCUUUGUUGGAUUAUAUAAAGAGUCUAACCUGCCCGGUGGUAGACACUAAACGGCUGCAGUACCCUGACUGUACAAAGGUAGCAUAAUAAUUUGCCUUUUAAUUGGAGGCUAGUAUGAAAGGUUGGAUGAAAGUAGAGCUGUCUCUUUUAUUUUGAUUAAAAAUUAUUUUUCAAGUUAAAAAGCUUGAAUUUUAUUAAAGGACGAGAAGACCCUAUCGAGCUUGUAAAUAUUUUUUAAGUGUUAAUUAUUAUGAAGAUAUGUGCUUAAUUAAUUGUUUUUAGUUGGGGCAACUACGGGACAUUAAAAACUCCCGUUGGAUUAUUUUUAUCUAAAUAGAUCCGACCUUGUCGAAUGGUGACUUAGUUACCGUAGGGAUAACAGCGUAAUUUUUUCUUAAGAGACCUCAUCGACAGAAAAGAUUGCGACCUCGAUGUUGGAUUAGAAUAUACUUUAAGGCGCAGGGGCUUUAUAAAGUUAGUCUGUUCGACUAUUAAAUUUCUACGUGAUCUGAGUUCAGACCGGA
This 533-nucleotide ribosomal RNA is filed under the name Leptopoma atricapillum. RNAcentral describes it as "partial 16S ribosomal RNA". It matches the Rfam family "Bacterial large subunit ribosomal RNA", at positions 1811 to 2620 of the family's 2925-position model. The record is from RNAcentral. Lineage: Eukaryota; Metazoa; Mollusca; Gastropoda; Architaenioglossa; Cyclophoridae.